UUUUUAGUAUAAGUAUGUCCCAUGCAAUAUUUGGAAGAUAUUUUUACUGAAA
This 52-nucleotide microRNA precursor is filed under the name Callithrix jacchus (white-tufted-ear marmoset). RNAcentral's name for it is "mir-1302 microRNA precursor family". It matches the Rfam family "mir-1302 microRNA precursor family". The record is from Rfam by way of RNAcentral. Lineage: Eukaryota; Metazoa; Chordata; Mammalia; Primates; Cebidae.